Molecule: signal recognition particle RNA, 97 nt
Filed under: Gammaproteobacteria bacterium
Lineage: Bacteria; Pseudomonadati; Pseudomonadota; Gammaproteobacteria
Description: signal recognition particle sRNA small type
Rfam family: Bacterial small signal recognition particle RNA
About the family: The signal recognition particle (SRP) is a universally conserved ribonucleoprotein involved in the co-translational targeting of proteins to membranes. Archaeal SRP consists of a 7S RNA and homologues of the eukaryotic SRP19 and SRP54 proteins.
Source: RNAcentral
CCUUGGUCCUCCCGCAAUAAAUUGUUGUGAACUCCGCCAGGCCCGGAAGGGAGCAACGGUAACAAUAAAUUUAUGUGCCGGGAUGUGGCUGAGGUGG